UAGGGUGGGGGGAGGGGUCCUAGAGGCACAGUGAGGUGGCCAGUGUAGCAAAUGGGAGCAAGAUGGAAAGGAGAGCAUGAGGGUAGGUUGAGUCCCAGCGAGAAGCUGGCUUUUUACUCUGCAUGAUGGAAGCCAUGGAAGGCUGUGAGCAGAGGGAGGACAGCAAGCAGGCUCCUUCUGGUAUCUGUGUGGGAUAAGCAGGAAGCCAGGAUACCAGGCAGGAGCCACUAGGGGGGUUCAGGGCCACAGGAGGCUGUGCAUGUACAGAGAGGUGACUGAAUUCGUAAACAUUCAGGGCCAACUGAAUGUGUUGCUCAACUGGACGAAGGUUGAAGAGGAGAGACGUGCGCCUCCUCAGUCCUAUUUUCACCCAUACACCUGAAGGUCAGGUCAGGCCUCCCACAGGGCCCACACUGAUUGUUGCACUCUACGUCUUAAAGGCUUUGGGAAGAGGUCCAACGUGGGAGGGAAAGCAGAACACAAGAAUGUGGGAGCCCUGGAGGGUUGUCAGUGUCAGGGAAGGUGAUAUCCCCAACAGGUGACCUCGAUCAUGGCCACUGGGGGCUUCAGGCACAGGGCCUGAUCAAUGGACAGUAGAGUAUCACCAGGGGUGUUCCCGAUGGAACCAGUAGUCUUGAUCCAGCCUCUGAGUCCCAGCACAUGAGUGCCCACUCCCUCUGCCUCCCCUGCAGGCCUGUGUUAAACCUGCUGCAGGGGAGGCCUGCCAGGUACUCAGGGUCGUGGAUAGCAGCAGGUGGCUCUGAGGCCAGGAAUGGUGAAAUCCGAGGGAGGGACGGGACAGGGCCGGAGAAGCAUGCUGGGGGGCCCUGGAAGGAGAAUUAUCGGCGAAGGGCGGGUGCUCACCGUGCCCCACAUCGCGGACACUGAAUGGUGGGGUGGGGGGGCCCAGGGUGGGCACGGGGCACUACAGAGCGGGUACCGGGUCCAGGACCGGAGGGCGCCGGGCAGACUCCGUCCCCCGCUGCUCCGCGCCUCGCUUUCCUCCACUGGAAAAUGGGCAGGAGCGCGGGCCCGUCUCCAGGACGCAUCGCGUCAACGCCGGGUCUUCUACGCCCUUGGUCGCCGCCGCCGCCGCCGCCUCUGGGAGACAGAGCACCCUUGCGCCCUCAGGGUCUCGGACGCCGCGACAAGCCCCAAGUCCCCUCCGCCCGCGCCCCCUUCGGGGCGGAGCUUGUGCCGGCCCCGCCCCCCAGCCCGAGCGCUCCGGCCGGCGCGCCCCCGGCCCAGCUGCGGCGCGUGACGCGAGGCGCGCGGCUCCGGCGGCCACCGCGGGCGGGCGCAAGCGGCGGCGGCGGCCGACGAGCGGGCGACAUGGCGGCAGCCGGGACGGCGGCGGGGACGGCGGGACCCGAGCCCAUGCCGAGCUACGCGCAGCUGGUGCAGCGCGGCUGGGGCAGCGCGCUGGCGGCGGCGCGGGGCUGCGCGGACUGCGGCUGGGGGCUGGCGCGCCGCGGCCUGGCCGAGCACGCGCACCUGGCGCCGCCCGAGCUGCUGCUGCUGGCGCUCGGCGCGCUCGGCUGGACGGCGCUGCGCUCGGCGGCCACCGCGCGCCUCUUUCGGCCCCUGGCCAAGCGGUGUCGCCUCCAGCCUAGAGAUGCCGCCAAGAUGCCUGAGAGCGCCUGGAAGUUUCUCUUCUACCUGGGUGCCUGGAGCUACAGCGCCUACCUGCUCUUCGGCACCGACUACCCCUUCUUUCACGACCCACCCUCUGUGUUCUACGACUGGACGUCGGGCAUGGCGGUACCACGGGACAUCGCAGCCGCCUACCUGCUGCAGGGAAGCUUUUACGGCCAUUCCAUCUAUGCCACGCUGUACAUGGACGCCUGGCGCAAGGACUCAGUGGUCAUGCUCGUCCACCAUGUGGUCACCCUGGUCCUCAUCGUCUCCUCCUAUGCCUUCCGGUACCACAAUGUGGGCAUCCUCGUGCUCUUCCUGCAUGACAUUAGCGACGUGCAGCUGGAAUUUACCAAGCUCAAUGUCUACUUCAAGUCUCGCGGAGGCUCCCACCACAGGCUCCACGCAUUGGCCUCCGACCUGGGCUGCCUCAGCUUCUGCCUCAGCUGUACAUCGUGGCCUUUGCUGCCAAGGUGCUGACGGGCCAGGUACGUGAACUGAAGGACGUCCGGGAAUACGACGCGGCAGAGGCCCAGAGCCCCAAGGCCAGCAAAGCUGAGAAGCCGCUGAGGAAUGGCCUGGUGAGAGACCAGCGCUUCUGAACUCGACCGCCUUCGCAUCCCUUAGGACCCAGCCCCGCCCGACCACGCGCCCCCCUCCAGGGACCGACUACGCCCCUCCCUCGGGACUCUGGCUC
This is an RNA transcript of Acinonyx jubatus (cheetah), 2332 nucleotides long. It is a transcript of the gene named ceramide synthase 1, with no coding region annotated. The transcript has 6 exons. The record is from RefSeq and is a predicted model, not a curated record. NCBI's taxonomy places the organism in Eukaryota, Metazoa, Chordata, Mammalia, Carnivora, Felidae.